RNAcentral lists this unclassified non-coding RNA (310 nucleotides) under plant metagenome. RNAcentral's name for it is "partial contains 5.8S ribosomal RNA, internal transcribed spacer 2, and large subunit ribosomal RNA". The stretch from base 1 to 105 matches the Rfam family "5.8S ribosomal RNA", at positions 50 to 154 of the family's 154-position model. The record is from RNAcentral.
GAAAUGCGAUAAGUAGUGUGAAUUGCAGAAUUCAGUGAAUCAUCGAAUCUUUGAACGCACAUUGCGCCCCUUGGUAUUCCAUGGGGCAUGCCUGUUCGAGCGUCAUUUGUACCCUCAAGCUCUGCUUGGUGUUGGGUGUUUGUCCCCGUCUCCGCGCGUGGACUCGCCCCAAAGUGAUUGGCAGCCGGCGUACUGGUCCCGGAGCGCAGCACAUGUCGCGCAAACGAGUGCCUUGGUACGGCGGCGUCCAUAAGCCCCUCUCUCACGCGCUUGACCUCGGAUCAGGUAGGGAUACCCGCUGAACUUAAGC